GACGAACGCUGGCGGCGUGCUUAACACAUGCAAGUCGAACGGAAAGGCCCUGCUUUUGUGUGGUGCUCGAGUGGCGAACGGGUGAGUAACACGUGAGUAACCUGCCCUUGACUUUGGGAUAACUUCAGGAAACUGGGGCUAAUACCGGAUAGGAGCUCCUGCUGCAUGGUGGGGGUUGGAAAGUUUCGGCGGUUGGGGAUGGACUCGCGGCUUAUCAGCUUGUUGGUGGGGUAGUGGCUUACCAAGGCUUUGACGGGUAGCCGGCCUGAGAGGGUGACCGGCCACAUUGGGACUGAGAUACGGCCCAGACUCCUACGGGCGGCAGCAGUGGGGAAUAUUGCACAAUGGGCGGAAGCCUGAUGCAGCAACGCCGCGUGCGGGAUGACGGCCUUCGGGUUGUAAACCGAUUUCGCCUGUGACGAAGAGUGAGUGACGGUAAUGGGUAAAGAAGCACCGGCUAACUACGUG
This 468-nucleotide ribosomal RNA is filed under the name uncultured bacterium. RNAcentral describes it as "partial 16S ribosomal RNA". It matches the Rfam family "Bacterial small subunit ribosomal RNA", at positions 28 to 507 of the family's 1533-position model. The record is from RNAcentral.